RNAcentral lists this transfer RNA (72 nucleotides) under Oscaecilia ochrocephala. RNAcentral describes it as "tRNA-Leu". It matches the Rfam family "tRNA". From Rfam's summary of the family: Transfer RNA (tRNA) molecules are approximately 80 nucleotides in length. Lineage: Eukaryota; Metazoa; Chordata; Amphibia; Gymnophiona; Caeciliidae. The record is from RNAcentral.
UUUGGGUGGCAGAGCCUGGUAAAUGCAAAAGACCUAAGCCCUUUAACCAGAGGUUCAAUUCCUCUCUCAAAU